GGAAAAGUAAAACAACUGAAAGAGAUAAAGAGAAAUUUGUGAGGGAGGAGAAGUGGGAAUUAUGUGGAACUCAGCUGGCAGUAACAGUGAAGACAUUCCCUUGGGCAAAGGAAAAAUAACAUAAGGGGAGAGGAAAAGUGUGAGGAGAUGGAUAAGGGUGGCUGGGUGGUUUCCUUGUUUUAAAGGAGCAGUUAAGAAAUCAUUGAAAGUGAUGCAGUGAAGAGAAUUUGGUAAAGGAGAAGAUAACUGUUGGGGAAAGAGGUUUUUUGAGGCAGAGGAUGUGAGAAGAAUGGACACCUCAAACACUGGAGUGCUGCGAAACCCAGGAAACAUCACAUCCUGAGGAGGCCACAGAGAGAGAGGAUGGAGAUCUGCUCAGUGUUUGAUGUUUACCUAACAUCAGCAGGAGAGAGGAGAAAAUGUCAAGGAGAAUGGCUGUACACUGGCAUAGGCCAUGGAAUUUGACAGAUUCACUAUCCAAAUAAGAACUGAUGGCUACUAAUUUAGGAAAAUCUCACUGAAAUAGAAAACCCUCUAAAUAGAGUUUGUUAACGAGCUUUGUAACUAAUUGGAAAACAACUCCCAGGGAAUCUGCAGCUGUUCACAAACAGCACUGCAGUUCUUCUCCUUCCCCUCUGCAGCAUGACUCCAUGCUCAGACCCUGUUUCCAAGACUUUCCCCUUCCUCACCUCAUUUCUUAAGAACUUUGGUUAAAAACCACAUACCUGUAAAACAAACCUGUCACAGUUAAGUCAUCUAAAGGAAUGAUAAUUAACACUAGGUACUAGGCACUUUUAAUGCUGGGUUGAAUGUGACACUGGCCAAGUUGCAAGAUGGAGUUUCUGUUCCUCAGAGAGUGAUGACCAUUCACAGUUGUGCAAGUAGAUGGAUGAACACUGGAAUUGUUUCAGCAGUGUCCUCUGGAUUUGCCAGGUGUCACCUGAAAUUCCUCAUCUCCAAACUGGGAUUUUAAGAAUGCCAGCUCCAAAAUGGCACAACCAGGAAGGUCCCUUUGCUAAUGGACACAACAGAGAGAACACAGGAGAGGGCAGAGAAGGGAAGAGUUAAAAGCAGCUCUUC
Molecule: long non-coding RNA, 1080 nt
Organism: Melospiza melodia melodia
Lineage: Eukaryota; Metazoa; Chordata; Aves; Passeriformes; Passerellidae
Exons: 3
Source: RefSeq, a predicted model, not a curated record